Molecule: long non-coding RNA, 251 nt
Filed under: Homo sapiens (human)
Lineage: Eukaryota; Metazoa; Chordata; Mammalia; Primates; Hominidae
Description: non-protein coding lnc-CD302-2:1
Source: RNAcentral
UAAUAAAAGAAAGGGAGAAUGAUAUAAAGGAUGAGGAAUCAAGGUACAAUCAAGAACUGACUUCUCAGUUGUUAGGCACAGAAAACAAAUGUAACUCUUUAGAAAAACAAUUGGAAUACAUGAGAAAAAAUGGAUCUUCUUGAACAGGAAUGUAACACACUUACCACGAUGCAAGCCCUUACAGAAAAAAAAAAAAAAAGAGUUGGAAGCAAAACUUCAUGAAGAACAAGAAGAAAAAAAAAUGUACGCAG